RNAcentral lists this ribosomal RNA (281 nucleotides) under unidentified marine bacterioplankton. RNAcentral describes it as "partial 16S ribosomal RNA". It matches the Rfam family "Bacterial small subunit ribosomal RNA", at positions 56 to 339 of the family's 1533-position model. The record is from RNAcentral.
UGCAAGUCGAACGAUGAAGGGGAGCUUGCUCCCUGGAUUAGUGGCGAACGGGUGAGUAACACGUGAGCAACCUGCCCCUAACUCUGGGAUAACGCUUCGAAAGGAGUGCUAAUACCGGAUACCAGCACGGAGGACAUCCUCUGUGCUUGAAAGUUUUCGGUUAGGGAUGGGCUCGCGGCCUAUCAGCUAGUUGGUGAGGUAAAAGCUCACCAAGGCGACGACGGGUAUCCGGCCUGAGAGGGCGACCGGACACACUGGAACUGAGACACGGUCCAGACUCC